UGAAUAUAAGCUCUAAGAGCUUUUGGCUGUUAACCAAAAAGGUAUAAAUUAUUUUAUAUAUUC
Molecule: transfer RNA, 63 nt
Filed under: Cyanoplax caverna
Lineage: Eukaryota; Metazoa; Mollusca; Polyplacophora; Chitonida; Tonicellidae
Description: tRNA-Asn
Source: RNAcentral